This 208-nucleotide unclassified non-coding RNA is filed under the name Hevea brasiliensis (rubber tree). The record is from RNAcentral. Lineage: Eukaryota; Viridiplantae; Streptophyta; Magnoliopsida; Malpighiales; Euphorbiaceae.
AAAUACUUAAUUUUUCAUUUAUAAAUACAAAUUCCAACUAUUUACAUUAAUAUCAAAAUAUAAUACAUGAGUCUCAAUUAUAUAUGAGAAAAUAAAAGCUUAAUUACAAAAUACCAAAAUGGGACCUAGUGUCUUAUCAAUGCAUUGAAGUUUGUGAGGUGACAUAGACACUAUGCAGAACUGUGGAUGGCCUCACCCAGUCUGUGGU